Molecule: ribosomal RNA, 253 nt
Filed under: uncultured bacterium
Lineage: Bacteria
Description: partial 16S ribosomal RNA
Rfam family: Bacterial small subunit ribosomal RNA
Source: RNAcentral
UACGGAGGGGGCUAGCGUUGUUCGGAAUUACUGGGCGUAAAGGGUUCGUAGGUGGCUUGCUAAGUCAGACGUGAAAUCCCUCAGCUUAACUGGGGAACUGCGUCUGAUACUGGCGAGCUUGAGUGCAGGAGAGGAACGCGGAAUUCCAGGUGUAGCGGUGAAAUGCGUAGAUAUGCCAUAGAACACCGAUUGCGAAGGCAGCCGGCCAAGCCUUGAUUGACGCUGAGGCACGAAAGCGUGGGGAGCGAACAGG